AGUAAUGUAUGGGGAUCUGCCCGAUAGAGGGGAAUAACUACUGGAAACGGUGGCUAAUACCGCAUAAUGUCUACGGACCAAAGCAGGGGCUCUUCGGACCUUGCACUAUCGGAUGAACCCAUAUGGGAUUAGCUAGUAGGUGGGGUAAAGGCUCACCUAGGCGACGAUCUCUAGCUGGUCUGAGAGGAUGACCAGCCACACUGGAACUGAGACACGGUCCAG
This 222-nucleotide ribosomal RNA is filed under the name uncultured bacterium. Its description in RNAcentral is "partial 16S ribosomal RNA". It matches the Rfam family "Bacterial small subunit ribosomal RNA", at positions 109 to 334 of the family's 1533-position model. The record is from RNAcentral.